Molecule: ribosomal RNA, 518 nt
Filed under: uncultured bacterium
Lineage: Bacteria
Description: bacterial SSU rRNA
Rfam family: Bacterial small subunit ribosomal RNA
Source: RNAcentral
AACGAACGCUGGCGGCGUGGAUAAGACAUGCAAGUCGAACGGGAUAUUAAUUGUAGCAAUACAGUUGAUGUUCAGUGGCGUAAGGGUGCGUAACACGUGGACAAUCUGCCGAGAAGUGGGGGAUAGCUCGUCGAAAGGCGAAUUAAUACCGCAUGCGGUUAGGGGCGACAUCGCUCUGACACCAAAGCCGGGGCAACCUGGCGCUUCUUGAUGAGUCCGCGGCCUAUCAGCUAGUUGGCGGGGUAACAGCCCACCAAGGCUAUGACGGGUAGCUGGUCUGAGAGGACGACCAGCCACACUGGAACUGAGACACGGUCCAGACACCUACGGGUGGCAGCAGUCGAGAAUUUUUCUCAAUGGGGGAAACCCUGAAGGAGCGACGCCGCGUGAAGGAUGAAGGUCUUCGGAUUGUAAACUUCUGUCAUUUGAGAACAAUGAUGCGGGAUUAACUGUCCCGUAUUUGAUAGUAUCAGAAGAGGAAGAGACGGCUAACUCUGUGCCAGCCGCCGCAGUAAAAC